UACGUAGGCGGUAAAUUAAGUCAGUAGUGAAAUCUUGCAGCUUAACUGUAGAACUGUUAUUGAUACUGGUUUUCUUGAAUAUAGUUGAGGUAGGCGGAAUGUGUAAUGUAUCGGUGAAAUGCUUAGAUAUUACACAGAACACCGAUUGCGAAGGCAGCUUACUAAGCUAUGAUUGACGCUGAUGGACGAAAGCGUGGGGAGCGAACAGGAUUAGAUACCCUGGUAGUCC
RNAcentral lists this ribosomal RNA (229 nucleotides) under uncultured bacterium. Its description in RNAcentral is "partial 16S ribosomal RNA". It matches the Rfam family "Bacterial small subunit ribosomal RNA", at positions 568 to 796 of the family's 1533-position model. The record is from RNAcentral.